GACGAACGCUGGCGGCGUGCCUAAUACAUGCAAGUCGAGCGGACUUCCAAGAAGCUUGCUUUUUGAAAGUUAGCGGCGGACGGGUGAGUAACACGUGGGCAACCUGCCUGCAAGACGGGGAUAACUCCGGGAAACCGGGGCUAAUACCGGAUAAUAUCUUCCUUCGCAUGAAGGAAGGUUGAAAGGCGGCGCAAGCUGCCGCUUGCAGAUGGGCCCGCGGCGCAUUAGCUAGUUGGUGAGGUAACGGCUCACCAAGGCGACGAUGCGUAGCCGACCUGAGAGGGUGAUCGGCCACACUGGGACUGAGACACGGCCCAGACUCCUACGGGAGGCAGCAGUAGGGAAUCUUCCGCAAUGGACGAAAGUCUGACGGAGCAACGCCGCGUGAGCGAAGAAGGUCUUCGGAUCGUAAAGCUCUGUUGUCAGGGAAGAACAAGUACCGUUCGAACAGGGCGGUACCUUGACGGUACCUGACCAGAAAGCCACGGCUAACUACGUG
RNAcentral lists this ribosomal RNA (499 nucleotides) under uncultured bacterium. RNAcentral's name for it is "partial 16S ribosomal RNA". It matches the Rfam family "Bacterial small subunit ribosomal RNA", at positions 28 to 507 of the family's 1533-position model. The record is from RNAcentral.